RNAcentral lists this long non-coding RNA (502 nucleotides) under Nicotiana benthamiana. Its description in RNAcentral is "long non-coding RNA (NBEN_LNC018775)". Lineage: Eukaryota; Viridiplantae; Streptophyta; Magnoliopsida; Solanales; Solanaceae. The record is from RNAcentral.
ACAGGACUAAUUUUUGUUCACUAAUUUCUGCAGCAAGCUUUUACAUUUUUUGUUACAUCUAGCUGGGUUUUUUUGGACGGAGUCAAAAGUUGCUGUUUGGAAUCUCUGUUAGUGUCGAGCUGUCGCCGUUUGUGGUUCCGGUCGAAGUGCGGUUUGUGUUGCUUGUUUUGGUUUCACACGCUAUUUGUAUUGUUUUCCCCACAAUAUCCCAUCUCUAAUUCGUCUUAGUUUUGUUCAAUUACUGGGUAAGAAUCUUAAUAAGUUAGAUCUAUAGCAGUCUUCGUCCGUCCUUUUACUUUUGAAUAUCCAUUGAAACUGUUCUUGAUUCUUCUGAUUUUUUUUAAGAAUUAUAAACAAUUUAGAUGGUCUAUUAAGAACUUUCAUCACUUACCUGUACUGACACACGAAGCAAUUUUCUUAUUCAGUGUGGCAACUUCAAGAAGAAGUGUAUAUCCAUACUUCAUAUCCUUUGGAUAAUUUUUAAUACCCAUUUUCUGUGUGC